Molecule: long non-coding RNA, 433 nt
Filed under: Helianthus annuus (common sunflower)
Lineage: Eukaryota; Viridiplantae; Streptophyta; Magnoliopsida; Asterales; Asteraceae
Source: RNAcentral
AAAAUAUUUAGCAUCAAAUCCUUAUCUGUUUCAAUCAAAAUGGCCGGAGAUCAAGGAGUACGAUUCACCAAUCGUCAAUCUUUUCUUCUUAACCUCUAAACGUCACAAUCCAAAAUCGUUUCCGAUCUGUUCCGUUGUGUUGCACCACCACAGUUACUCGCCAUCGUGGAACUACCUAGACCGCACGUCGCCGUUUUCAACCGUCCCACACACACCAACGCCACCGCUUUGAACCCGCCGUACGGUCCGCUGUAACUACACACGCCUUCCAGCACCAUGGCGCCCGUUUGCAUACUUUUUGUGGAUGACUUGAUUUGUAAUAUGGGAUGAUCUGGGGUUUCAGUCAGGAGCGUUAGGAAGUUGCUGGCAACGACUAUUUAUUUCAGUAAUGUAAUAAAUGUGAUUAGGAUCUUUUAUUUAAUGUUAUGGAUCG